This 393-nucleotide ribosomal RNA is filed under the name uncultured bacterium. RNAcentral describes it as "partial 16S ribosomal RNA". It matches the Rfam family "Bacterial small subunit ribosomal RNA", at positions 523 to 918 of the family's 1533-position model. The record is from RNAcentral.
AUACGGAAGGUCCGGGCGUUAUCCGGAUUUAUUGGGUUUAAAGGGAGCGCAGGCGGAGAUGCAAGCGUGACGUCAAAUUUCGGGGCUCAACCCCGUCUCGCGUCGCGAACUGCGUCCCUUGGUUGCGGGAAGGGGAGGCGGAACUCGUGGUGUAGCGGUGAAAUGCAUAGAUAUCACGAAGAAAUCCGAUCGCGAAGGCAGCCUUCCGGCCCGUCAACGACGCUCAUGCUCGAAGGUGCGGGUAUCAAACAGGAUUAGAUACCCUGGUAGUCCGCACAGUAAACGAUGGACACCCGCGGUUUGGCCUGUAUGGCUGAGCCGCCAAGCGAAAGCGUUAAGUGUCCCACCUGGGGAGUACGCCGGCAACGGUGAAACUCAAAGGAAUUGGCGGGG